RNAcentral lists this ribosomal RNA (833 nucleotides) under Marasmius longisetosus. RNAcentral's name for it is "LSU rRNA". It matches the Rfam family "Eukaryotic large subunit ribosomal RNA", at positions 114 to 938 of the family's 3401-position model. Lineage: Eukaryota; Fungi; Basidiomycota; Agaricomycetes; Agaricales; Marasmiaceae. The record is from RNAcentral.
UUUAAAAUCUGGCAGUUUCACUGUCCGAGUUGUAAUUUAGAGAAGUGUUACCCGCGUUGGACCGUGUAUAAGUCUCCUGGAAUGGAGCGUCAUAGAGGGUGAGAAUCCCGUCUUUGACACGGACUACCAAGGCAUUGUGGUAUGCUCUCGAAGAGUCGAGUUGUUUGGGAAUGCAGCUCUAAAUGGGUGGUAAAUUCCAUCUAAAGCUAAAUAUUGGCGAGAGACCGAUAGCGAACAAGUACCGUGAGGGAAAGAUGAAAAGAACUUUGGAAAGAGAGUUAAACAGUACGUGAAAUUGCUGAAAGGGAAACGCUUGAAGUCAGUCGCGUUGGCCGGGGAUCAGCCUUGCUUUUGUGAGGUGUACUUCCUGGUUGACGGGUCAGCAUCAGUUUCGACCACUGGAAAAAGGCUUUGGGAAUGUGGCACCUUCGGGUGUGUUAUAGCCCAUUGUCGUAUACAGUGGCUGGGACUGAGGAACUCAGCACGCCGCAAGGCCGGGUUUCGACCACGUUCGUGCUUAGGAUGCUGGCAAAAUGGCUUUAAUCGACCCGUCUUGAAACACGGACCAAGGAGUCUAACAUGCCUGCGAGUGUUUGGGUGGAAAACCCGAGCGCGUAAUGAAAGUGAAAGUUGGGAUCUCUGUCGUGGAGAGCACCGACGCCCGGACCUGAUGUUUACUGACGGAUCUGCGGUAGAGCAUGUAUGUUGGGACCCGAAAGAUGGUGAACUAUGCCUGAAUAGGGCGAAGCCAGAGGAAACUCUGGUGGAGRCUCGUAGCGAUUCUGACGUGCAAAUCGAUCGUCGAAUUUGGGUAUAGGGCGAAAGACUAUCGA